This 816-nucleotide ribosomal RNA is filed under the name Triticum aestivum (bread wheat). RNAcentral's name for it is "partial small subunit ribosomal RNA". Lineage: Eukaryota; Viridiplantae; Streptophyta; Magnoliopsida; Poales; Poaceae. The record is from RNAcentral.
AUGGCAGGGGUGUUGGACCUGCUCCUCGGCAAACUCACCACGGUGCUCAGCGACGAGUACAAGAUGCUCACAGGGGUGAGGAGGCAUGCCUCCUUCCUCAAGGACGAGCUCAGUGCCAUGAAAGCUCUCCUUGACGAGAUGGAUCUUAUGGACAAGCUUGAUCCCUCGGCCAAGAACUGGAGGGACCAUAUAAGAGAGAUGUCCUAUGACAUGGAGAACUGCAUCGACGACUUCAUGCAUGACAUUGAAGGUACCCAUGUAAAGGCAGGCUUUGUUAGAAAGAUGGUUCAGCGUCUUAGGAGGUUGGGGAGACGUCAUAAGAUAGCGAAGAGGAUCAAGGAGCUCAAGGUUCUUGCGGUGGAAGCAAAUGCUCGACGCGAGAGAUACAAGAUUGAUGAUUGCAUCAACUCGAGGCAUGGUGUUGUGGUUGUGGAUCCCCGGAUGUCGGCGAUCUACAAGGAUGUGGCAUGCCUGGUGGGUAUUGAUGGCCCAAAAGAAGAGCUUGUCAAUUGGUUAAUGGAUUCACAGAAGAAACUCAAAGUAGUUUCUAUUGUGGGGUUCGGAGGUUUGGGUAAAACUACACUUGCCAAACAGGUGUACAAUGAGAUUGGAGGGCAAUUUAACAGUAAGGCAUUUGUUUCGGUCUCCCAAAGACCUGAUAUGAAAAGCCUUAUCGGUGGCCUACAAUUCAAGCUUGGACUGCAGGAGUCUUCUCAUGCUCACAAGCUGCAAGACUUCAUUGACCAGCUUAGAGAACACCUCAGACAUAAAAGGUACUUUAUUUUAUUGGAUGACUUGUGGGAUCAAUCGACAUGA